AGCGAACGCUGGCGGCAGGCCUAACACAUGCAAGUCGAACGGACCUUUCGGGGUUAGUGGCGGACGGGUGAGUAACACGUGGGAACGUGCCUUUAGGUUCGGAAUAGCUCCUGGAAACGGGUGGUAAUGCCGAAUGUGCCCUUAGGGGGAAAGAUUUAUCGCCUUUAGAGCGGCCCGCGUCUGAUUAGCUAGUUGGUGAGGUAAUGGCGCACCAAGGCUACGACCAGUAGCUGGUCUGAGAGGAUGACCAGCCACAUUGGGACUGAGACACGGGCCAAGCUCCUACGGGAGGCAGCAGUGGGGAAUGUUGCGCAAUGGGCGGAAGCCUGACGCAGCCAUGCCGCGUGGAUGAUGAAGGUCUUAGGAUUGUAAAAUCCUUUCACCGGUGGAGAUAAUGACUGUAGCCGGAGAAGAAGCCCCGGCUAACUUCGUGCCAGCAGCCGCAGUAA
Molecule: ribosomal RNA, 449 nt
Filed under: uncultured bacterium
Lineage: Bacteria
Description: partial 16S ribosomal RNA
Rfam family: Bacterial small subunit ribosomal RNA
Source: RNAcentral